This 478-nucleotide ribosomal RNA is filed under the name uncultured bacterium. Its description in RNAcentral is "partial 16S ribosomal RNA". It matches the Rfam family "Bacterial small subunit ribosomal RNA", at positions 28 to 523 of the family's 1533-position model. The record is from RNAcentral.
GACGAACGCUGGCGGCGUGCUUAACACAUGCAAGUCGAACGGUAAGGCCCUUCGGGGUACACGAGUGGCGAACGGGUGAGUAACACGUGGGUGAUCUGCCCUGCACUUCGGGAUAAGCCUGGGAAACUGGGUCUAAUACCGGAUAGGACCACUGCCUGCAUGGGUGGUGGUGGAAAGCCUUUACGGUGUGGGAUGGGCCCGCGGCCUAUCAGCUUGUUGGUGGGGUGGUGGCCUACCAAGGCGACGGCGGGUAGCCGGCCUGAGAGGGUGACCGGCCACACUGGGACUGAGAUACGGCCCAGACUCCUACGGGAGGCAGCAGUGGGGAAUAUUGCACAAUGGGCGCAAGCCUGAUGCAGCGACGCCGCGUGAGGGAUGACGGCCUUCGGGUUGUAAACCUCUUUCAGCACCGACGAAGCGCAAGUGACGGUAGGUGCAGAAGAAGGACCGGCCAACUACGUGCCAGCCGCCGCGGUAA